Molecule: ribosomal RNA, 465 nt
Filed under: uncultured bacterium
Lineage: Bacteria
Description: partial 16S ribosomal RNA
Rfam family: Bacterial small subunit ribosomal RNA
Source: RNAcentral
GACGAACGCUGGCGGCGUGCUUAACACAUGCAAGUCGAACGGAAAGGCCCUGCUUGCAGGGUACUCGAGUGUCGAAAGGGUGAGUAACACGUGGGUGAUCUCUCCUGCACUUCGGGAUAUGCCUGGAAGAAUGGGUCUCAUACCGGAUAGGAGACAUUCUUAUUGUGAUGGUUGUAAAGUAUUUUCGGUGUAGGAUGAGCUCGCGGCCUAUCAGCUUGUUGGUGGGGUAAUGGCCUACCAAGGAGGCGACGGGUAGCCGGCCUGGGAGGGUGGACGGCCACAUUGGGGCUUGGAUACGGCCCAGACUCCUACGGGGGGCAGCAGGGGGGGAUAAUGGACAAAGGGGGCGAGCCUUAAUCAGCGACGGCGGGUGGGGGAAUACGGGCUUCCGGUUGUAAACCCGCUUCGCUAGGGACGAAGCUUUUUGUGACGGUACCUAGUUAAGAAGCACCGGCUAACUACGUG